Molecule: transfer RNA, 84 nt
Filed under: Macrotyloma biflorum
Lineage: Eukaryota; Viridiplantae; Streptophyta; Magnoliopsida; Fabales; Fabaceae
Description: tRNA-Tyr
Source: RNAcentral
CAGCUUAGUAUUAGAUAUAAAUAUACCUAUCCAAUCUUAGUAUUAGUAAUAAAUGACAGUGACAGAAAUGAAGUUUGAAUCUCC